UUUUCGGGUCAAACUUUAUGGGAUUUUGGGUCUUCAAAAUCCCAAUUUUGGGGAUUUAUGGGAUUUUGGAGAUUUAUGGGAUUUUGAGGCUUCGGAAUAUCAUUUUUUGGGUCCAACUUUAUGGGAUUUCGGGUCUUCAGAAUCCCAUUUUUGGGUCCAACUUUAUGGGAUUUUGGGUCUUUGGAAUCCCCAUUUUUGGGUCCAACGUUAUGGGAUUUCGGGUCUUCGAAAUCCCAAUUUUGGGGAUUUAUGGGAUUUUGGAGAUUUAUGGGAUUUCGAGGCUUCGGAAUAUCAUUUUUUGGUCAAAAUUUAUGGGAUUUCGGGUCUUCGGAAUCCCAUUUUCGGCUCAAACUUUAUGGCAUUUCGGGUCUUCGGAAUCCCCAUUUUUGAAUCCAACUUUAUGGGAUUUUGGGUCUUUUUGGGGUGGGAUUUGGGGUCUUUUUUGCUCACCCGACUCUUCGGCCUCGGAGGAGUAAUCCUCGUCGCUGUCCUCCUCCUCUUCCUCGUAGUCCUCCUCAGAGGGGUUGAAGGUCUCAUCCUCCAUCUCCGACUCCGACUCCCCCACCUCCGCCUCGCUGCCCUAAAACGGCCCCAAAACGACCCCAAAUUCGACCCCAAAUGGCCCUAAAAUGGCCCUAUAGGGCUCUGGUGGGUCCAAUGGGGUCAAAUGGACCCAAAAUGGCCCCAAAAUGGCCCCAAUGGGGUCAAAAUGGCACCCGAGUGGCCCCAAAGGAUCUCCAAUGGGUUCCGCUGUCACCAAUGACCCCAAAAUGGCCCUAAACGGCCCCAAAAUGGCCCCAAAUUCGACCCCAAACGGCCCUAAAAUGGCCCUAUAGGGUUCUGGUGGGUCCAAUGGGGUCAAAUGGACCCAAAGUGGCCCUAAAAUGGCCCCAAUGGGGUCAAAAUGGCACCCGAGUAGCCCCAAAAGAACUCCAAUGGGUUCCGCUGCCAACAAUGGCCCCAAAACGACCCCAAAUGGCCCCAAAAGGACCCCAAAUUCGACCCCAAAUGGCCCUAAAAUGGCCCUAUAAGGUUCUGGUGGGUCCAAUGGGGUCAAAUGGACCCAAAGUGGCCCUAAAAUGGCCCCAAUGGGGUCAAAAUGGCACCAGAGUGGCCCCAAAAGAACUCCAAUGGGUUCCGCUGCCAACAAUGGCCCCAAAACGACCCCAAAUGGCCCCAAAAGGACCCCAAAUUCAACCCCAAACGGCCCUAAAAUGGCCCUAUAGGGUUCUGGUGGGUCCAAUGGGGUCAAAUGGACCCAAAGUGGCCCUAAAAUGGCCCCAAUGGGGUCAAAAUGGCACCCGAGUGGCCCCAAAAGAACUCCGAUGGGUUCCACUGCCAACAAUGGCCCCAAAACGACCCCAAAUGGCCCCCAAAGGACCCCAAAUUCGACCCCAAAUGGCCCUAUAGGGUUCUGGUGGGCCCAAUGGGGUCAAAUGAACCCCAAGUGGUCCCAAUGGGGUCAAAAUGGCACCAGAGUGGCCCCAAAGGAUCUCCUAUGGGUUCCAGUGUCACCAAUGGCCCCAAAAUGGCCCCAGAACGACCCCAAAUUCAACCCCAAACGGCCCUAAAAUGGCCCUAUAGGGUUCUGGUGGGCCCAAUGGGGUCAAAUGGACCCAAAGUGGCCCCAAUGGGGUCAAAAUGGCACCCGAGUGGCCCCAAAAGAACUCCGAUGGGUUCCACUGCCAACAAUGGCCCCAAAACGACCCCAAAUGGCCCCAAAAGGACCCCAAAUUCGACCCCAAACGGCCCUAAAAUGGCCCUAUAAGGUUCUGGUGGGUCCAAUGGGGUCAAAUGGACCCAAAAUGGCCCCAAUGGGGUCAAAAUGGCACCCGAGUGGCCCCAAAAGAACUCCGAUGGGUUCCGCUGUCA
Gallus gallus (chicken) is the source of this 1872-nucleotide long non-coding RNA. Lineage: Eukaryota; Metazoa; Chordata; Aves; Galliformes; Phasianidae. The record is from Ensembl.